ACCUUUAUAAGCAAAUUUUAUUCUUUAAAUCUCAUAUGAUAUUUUACAAAUUACUGUUUAUGCUGUAAAAAAUUAACUGAACCUCAUCAAGUACUAUACUUUACAUACUUUUUCACAGGAAAAAAAUUUUAAAACGUCCAAUUCUGAACCAUACCAAAAAGAAGCACUUCUACUGAACUGAACAUAAACAGAAGCCAUAUCUGUACUAUUUCAAAUGAUCAAUACCUGAGCUGCCAAUAGGUGAAUGUCAACAUGUCCUUUGAAAUAAACAGCAGAAAUUUAAAUUUCAAGAUGUUCUCAUCGUAUUAAUUCAUUCUGGUUUAUUUUAAAAUACCCUCCUUUUGCAGGGGUUAAAGAAUGACUUUCCUCUCCCAUUUAUUAAAAACAAAAUGACUGUAUUUCUCUCCUCAACCUACAGUUCUCCUCAGC
This 429-nucleotide long non-coding RNA is filed under the name Bos taurus (domestic cattle). RNAcentral describes it as "long non-coding RNA NONBTAT004182". The record is from RNAcentral. Lineage: Eukaryota; Metazoa; Chordata; Mammalia; Artiodactyla; Bovidae.